AGCGAACGCUGGCGGCAGGCUUAACACAUGCAAGUCGAGCGCCCGGAGCAAUCCGGGAGCGGCAGACGGGAGAGUAACACGUGGGAACGUACCCUUUGGUUCGGAAUAAUCCAGGGAAACUUGGACUAAUACCGGAUAAGCCCUUACGGGGAAAGAUUUAUCGCCAAAGGAUCGGCCCGCGUCUGAUUAGCUAGUUGGUGAGGUAACGGCUCACCAAGGCGACGAUCAGUAGCUGGUCUGAGAGGAUGAUCAGCCUCACUGGGACUGAGACACGGCCCAGACUCCUACGGGAGGCAGCAGUGGGGAAUAUUGGACAAUGGGCGCAAGCCUGAUCCAGCCAUGCCGCGUGGGUGAUGAAGGCCUUAGGGUUGUAAAGCCCUUUCGGCGGGGAAGAUAAUGACGGUACCCGCAGAAGAAGCCCCGGCUAACUUCGUGCCAGCCGCCGCGGUAAU
This 452-nucleotide ribosomal RNA is filed under the name uncultured bacterium. Its description in RNAcentral is "bacterial SSU rRNA". It matches the Rfam family "Bacterial small subunit ribosomal RNA", at positions 29 to 524 of the family's 1533-position model. The record is from RNAcentral.